RNAcentral lists this ribosomal RNA (399 nucleotides) under uncultured Sphingobacteriales bacterium. RNAcentral's name for it is "bacterial SSU rRNA". It matches the Rfam family "Bacterial small subunit ribosomal RNA", at positions 980 to 1382 of the family's 1533-position model. Lineage: Bacteria; Pseudomonadati; Bacteroidota; Sphingobacteriia; Sphingobacteriales. The record is from RNAcentral.
CUCAAAUAGUAUGUUGACGUAUUCUGAAAGGGAUACUUCUUCGGACAAUAUACAAGGUGCUGCAUGGUUGUCGUCAGCUCGUGCCGUGAGGUGUCGGGUUAAGUCCCAUAACGAGCGCAACCCUAUCAUUAGUUGCCAUCAGGUCAAGCUGGGGACUCUAAUGAAACUGCCUACGCAAGUAGUGAGGAAGGUGGGGAUGACGUCAAAUCAGCACGGCCCUUACGUCCAGGGCUACACACGUGCUACAAUGGCCGGUACAAAGGGCAGCUACCUGGUGACAGGAUGCUAAUCUCAAAAGCCGGUCUCAGUUCGGAUCGGAGUCUGCAACCCGACUCCAUGAAGUUGGAAUCGCUAGUAAUCGUGGAUCAGCAUGCCACGGUGAAUACGUUCCCGGGCCUU